UUUUUGGAUGUUCUGGGACGCCGUGAGAACAGAGGCUGGAUGUUGUGUUGAUGAAAUCAGGACUGGAAGUUUGUGGCUCAGCACCCGAAGGCAACACCCAGACUGAUGAAACCCGUUUAAUGUGGAGGCCGAGCUGCAGCGGGAGGGGGGGUUCAGGACACCGACUGCAGAUGGAGGGUUUUAUUUUUCCAGGGAGUCUCCCAUAAUCCAGGCUGAGAGGGCCCUGACACGCCAAUCGGAGUGAUGUACUGCUCACGGCGCGUCGCCGCCGCCGAACGCCAUGUUUAAUUCAACGCGUACCAAACUUGGACCCUCCAUCAGCAAAAGAGUCUCACUCAGACGUUCAGUAUCCACAAACUCUUGUGCUUUGUGUUUGUAAGAAAAGAACAAACCCCCGCAAACAUCAAAAAAUCUUUGACUCUGCAUUCCCAUAUCGUCCAAUUACACUAAAAUAGAGCAGAAAAAAAAAAGAAAACCUCAGUGUGAGCGCUGCCAACUCUGAUCUGAAGUUUAUUCUUUGGCCUAAUACCCAGAGAAACACAUCACAUUUCAGCAAAACCAUCCAUUAGCUUUUGAGUCACGUCCAGGCUUGAAUACCGAUCCAGGAUCUACAUCUGGAUCUCGACCAAAGGUGCAAAGUGGAGACGUCGGGCUGAUUUUAGUCAUAUUUAGACUUCCCCCGACUCAUUUGUCUUUGCUGGUAGUUACAAUGAUUUGAUUGUUGAUUCCUGUUCUGUGGAGUUUGCCCCGUCUCCUCUGCUCUCGGGCUCCCUCCGCUCUUCCUUUGGCCGCCCGGUCCCAUCACCCAGCACCAGCCAAAGAUUUAUUUUCCGAAGCCGCUCGGUGGGGCCAAGUUGCUCUUAUAAAACGGUUGCUGGAUACGCUGAAAGAAGGGCCCAAAUCAUUUAAUCAGAGGACGCCAAGAAGCUUCGCUGGGCCCCCGAGCACUUCAAAUCUGAGUGCAGUCAGGAUUGAUGUGAGCUGCCUCCCGCACAAGAGCAACGUUGUAGAUGGAGCAGAAACCCGAUGGCUUCUCCUUUUCAUUCCGCCGUUUCUCUUCCCGAUCAACCACUCAGGCAACAAGGAAAGUGCUACCAGUGCUGCUGCAUCCAGCCCGACAGAUGAGGCUCUCCAUCUCAACCCAUCCAGGUUUCGCCCCACGUGCAACCAGCAGCUUUAACAAUUCCUAUGCAGGUUUUGCUCACUCCCCCCCCCCCUCCAUUGAUCCCCUCCUCUGACAGCGCACUAACCCAUCCGCUUUCCCUUCACCCUGGACGCCUCCACGCAGGCCUGCUGCUCACGGGGCUGACAGGACGGGGCUUGUGCGGCUCCCGCGCGUUAAUGGAGAGAAUAAAUUGAGUGUCGUUUCAGCUUAACAUGGCCGACUGCCUUAAUGAGCUGUGGAUACACCGUUAAACCCACACGCUGCCACCAUGCGAUGAGCCAUUGAAAAAAAACAGGUAAUUUCCACCUUUGAGUCGCAUCACAUUUAAACUGAAGUCGACACACAGCUGCCGGGCUGGAUGGCCGAUCAAUCGCCUCCCCCCCCAACGCAAAAUGGAGAUAAGAGUUUUUCUGAGCAUCUCAGAAAUGCACCGAGGGCCCUGCUG
Molecule: long non-coding RNA, 1610 nt
Organism: Takifugu rubripes (torafugu)
Lineage: Eukaryota; Metazoa; Chordata; Actinopteri; Tetraodontiformes; Tetraodontidae
Source: Ensembl